AACGCUGGCGGCAUGCUUAACACAUGCAAGUCUAACGGUUUUUUCGAAAAGUAAAAACAGUGACGGACGGGUGAGUAACAUGUAAGAAUCUACGUUUAGGCAGGGGACAACAGUUGGAAACGUCUGCUAAUACCCUAUAUCGCUACUAAGUGAAAGAAUUUUCGCCUAGACAUGAGCUUGCACCUGAUUAGCUUGUUGGUAAGGUAAAGGCUUACCAAGGCUUUGAUCAGUAGCUGUUUUGAGAAGAUGACCAGCCACACGGGAAUUGAGAACGGGACCGACUCCUACGGGAGGCAGCAGUGAGGAAUUUUCCGCAAUGAGUGAAAGCUUGACGGAGCAAUGCCGCGUGGAGGAAGAAGGCCCUAGGGUUGUAAUCUCCUUUUCUCAUUGAAGAAAUUUUGACAUUAUUUGAGGAAUAAGCAUCGGCUAAUUUCGUGCCAGCAGCCGCGGUAAUACGAGAGAUGCAAGCGUUAUCCGGAAUUAUUGGGCGUAAAGAGUUUGUAGGUUGUUAAAUAUGUUUAAUGUUAAAUAUUAGAGCUCAACUUUGGAAUUGCAUUAAAAACUAUUAGACUUGAGUAUGAUAGAGGUAAAGGGAAUUUCCAGUGUAGUGGUGAAAUACGUAGAUAUUGGAAAGAACACCAAAGGCGAAAGCACUUUACUAGGUUAAUACUGACACUGAGAAACGAAAGCUAAGGUAUCAAAAAGGAUUAGAUACCCUUGUAGUCUUAGCCGUAAACAAUGGAUACUAAGUGGUGCAUUUUUGUGCUACUGUAGCUAACGCGUUAAGUAUCCCGCCUGGGGAGUACGCUUGCAAAAGUGAAACUCAAAGGAAUUGACGGGGGCCCGCACAAGCAGUGGAGCAUGUGGUUUAAUUCGAUGCAACGCGAAGAACCUUACCAGGGUUUGACAUGCUAGGAAAUCUUUUGAAAGAUAGAUGUGCCGUAAGGAACCUAGACACAGGUGGUGCAUGGCUGUCGUCAGCUCGUGUCGUGAGAUGUUAGGUUAAGUCCGCCAACGAGCGCAACCCUCUUCUUUUGUUAAUUAUUUCUCUAAAGAUACUGCCAAUUAUAAGUUGGAGGAAGGUGAGGACGACGUCAAGUCAUCAUGCCCUUUAUAUCCUGGGCUACACACGUGCUACAAUGGGUAAGACAAUGAGUCGCAAGUCUGUGAAGACAAGCUAAUCUCUUAAACUUAUCCUUAGUUCGGACUAUAGGCUGCAACUCGCCUAUACGAAGUUGGAAUUGCUAGUAAUCGCCGGUCAGCAGUACGGCGGUGAAUCCGUUCCCGGGCCUUGUACACACCGCCCGUCACACUACGAGAGAAGGUCAUGCCUAAUGAUGUUAUCUUAACCCUCGGGAAACAAAUAUCUAAGGCCGGGUUUUUGAUCUGAGUGAAGUCGUAACAAGGUAGCCGUACU
This 1417-nucleotide ribosomal RNA is filed under the name Euglena viridis. RNAcentral's name for it is "bacterial SSU rRNA". It matches the Rfam family "Bacterial small subunit ribosomal RNA". Lineage: Eukaryota; Euglenozoa; Euglenophyceae; Euglenales; Euglenaceae. The record is from RNAcentral.